Molecule: ribosomal RNA, 468 nt
Filed under: uncultured bacterium
Lineage: Bacteria
Description: partial 16S ribosomal RNA
Rfam family: Bacterial small subunit ribosomal RNA
Source: RNAcentral
GACGAACGCUGGCGGCGUGCUUAACACAUGCAAGUCGAACGGAAAGGCCCUGCUUUUGUGGGGUGCUCGAGUGGCGAACGGGUGAGUAACGCGUGAGUAACCUGCCCUUGACUUUGGGAUGACUUCAGGAAACUGGGGCUAAUACCGGAUAGGAGCUCCUGCUGCAUGGUGGGGGUUGGAAAGUUUCGGCGGUUGGGGAUGGACUCGCGGCUUAUCAGCUUGUUGGUGGGGUAGUGGCUUACCAAGGCUUUGACGGGUAGCCGGCCUGAGAGGGUGACCGGCCACAUUGGGACUGAGAUACGGCCCAGACUCCUACGGGAGGCAGCAGUGGGGAAUAUUGCACAAUGGGCGGAAGCCUGAUGCAGCAACGCCGCGUGCGGGAUGACGGCCUUCGGGUUGUAAACCGCUUUCGCCUGUGACGAAGCGUGAGUGACGGUAAUGGGUAAAGAAGCACCGGCUAACUACGUG